UGCAUCAGAUGUCAAGGCAGCCUGCAAAUAGACGGUGGUUGUGUGGUUCAGGAUGUGAAGGAACGCAUUGCAAGUAGAACGUAUACAAAAAAAAAAAAAAAAAAAAAAAAAAAAAAAAAAAAUUUUUUUUUU
RNAcentral lists this non-coding RNA (132 nucleotides) under Heterosigma akashiwo. Lineage: Eukaryota; Raphidophyceae; Chattonellales; Chattonellaceae. The record is from RNAcentral.